UAAAGAAUGAUACAUUAUUAGAUAAGUCAUGACAAACUAAACAUGUAUAUGCAAUUAGAAGGUAAUACUGACCCAAAUUCAAGUAAACAGAAGCGAGGCCUUCAAAGUCCACAGGCAGAAGCAGUAGCCUAGCACGUUCUAGAAAGUUCCAUACAGUUAGCUUAACCAUACAGCUUAGAAGAAUACUUACAAUAUAAAGAAUGAUUAUAAGAACGAUACAUUAUUAGAUAAGUCAGGAACAUGACAAGCUAAAUAUGUAUAUGCAAUUAGGAGGUAAUACUCACCCAAACGUAAGUAAACAGCAGCGAGGCCUACAGAGUCCACAGUCAGAAGCAGUAGCCUAGCACGUUCUAGAAAGUUCCAUACAGUUAGCUUAACCAUAAACCUAACAAUUCAUGAAAUGAUGACACAGAAUUUGAUAAGUCAUGAGCUUCAUUAAAACUAACAUUAAAUUAUAGUCAAACGCGAAGAAAACGGCUGAGUAGAAGUGGGAGGAUAAACGUUAGCUUAGCAGCGUAGCUUUCUCCAAGACGUUUACAAACGACUUUUCUCCAAAACUACUGCGAGGGUUGACAAAGUUCUUCAAUCUACAAGUGUCUAAGCAUCAAGACGUCCCCGUCACGAGCCGCUGCCUCAUGGCGGUCGUGAGCGCCGCAUUCGGUGAUUCAUCGCCUCGCUGACAAGAGCGCCACGCUCCCCGCUUGGGUUACAGCCUGGGAAGCGCUCGCCUUGGAAACAUGUCUGCUGGUGUGAUGUUACGCCAGUGACUCACUCGUCCACAUUGGGUCCUGCCGUUGUUGGGCCUGAUCAUUGUUGGAGUUGUGGUGUACUGCUGUUUCCGGAUCAGGGGCAGAACCACAGAAGCAGGCCGCCAUCAGUUCGGCCAAGGGAGGUUCCCGGGUUGCCUUGUUUAACUCCCUCAUGAUGGUGGACGGUGUCUCCUUGUAGCCGCUUUCCCAGUGAGGCGUUGACUGCUCUCGGCCUGGAUGAGGCAUCAGUGAUGUGUUGCUUGUGAACCAAACAGCUGAAAUGAACACCAUCUUAUUUUCCAAGUAAAAUGGCGUGUGAUUGGUUAACGUGCAAACAUGCAAUAGGCUGCGGCCUGCAGCGGCCUUGCCACAAAGUCACACUUAAAACACCUCCUUGGUAUCAGCGUCCCAAUGCGGAUUCCUUAAUCCACGGACAACAAAUAAAACAGGUCCCCUACCUGUUUCCAGGUGAAUGCAUGGCAGCGGCAUGUAGUUCCUUGCUUCGCCAUGAUGCCCACUUUGGUGGCCAUUAUGUUGUUUUGUUGACACUUGUUGAGGUUUGGCAUGGUGCAGGUUCAUUAACAUUAUUUAAAUGUUUAUUCAAGAAGUCUUUUAGUGUCUUGGUAAUCAAAACAAGUGAAACCAAAAGGAAAUCCAUACCCGAGGAAGUAAAACAAUUCUAUAAUCAACCACUUCCUAUGAACAGUUUGGCGCCCCCCGGUGACAGAAGUCAGAAUCACUUCCUAUAAACAGUUUGGCGUCUCGGUGACUAAAGCUAAAAAUCGACUAAACAGCGACGCGUCAAUGUUUCCGAACCCAAAACAAGCGUUUAGCUUACUUCAAGUCAGCCACGGCAUGUCCGGUAUGAUGUUGAAGUGAGUUUUUGCCGCCUUAGGUUUAGAAGAAAUGGCUAACUGGUUAACUCGCUAGCUUGUUAGCGCGCUACUAGCGGCCAUCUUGAGUCCCAAUGUAACGUAAACAAUUACUUGGAAAGUAAAGAUGACGAAAGGAGGUGUUAUUUCAUGUUUACAUUAGUCCGGUUAUCUUUUUUUAAAUAAACUAUUUACAAAGUUAAGCAUCUUUACAUGCUGUAUGGAAAUACUCAACCUCUUCCGUGAUACUGUGAUAAUGAUAAUGAUACUGUGAUAAUGUGGUCAGGUCUGGAACCACCAUAAACAAGGGAACACUUAUGAGGAAAAAUGUACAAUAAGACCCAGCAACAAUUCUAAAAGGUGAAAUAUGUUUAGAUUUUUAA
This is a long non-coding RNA of Doryrhamphus excisus (bluestripe pipefish), 2004 nucleotides long. RefSeq lists it as uncharacterized. Lineage: Eukaryota; Metazoa; Chordata; Actinopteri; Syngnathiformes; Syngnathidae. The record is from RefSeq and is a predicted model, not a curated record.